AUGGUUAAACUGUGCCCAUGUGUUGAUGGUCAGACUCUGACAGAAUCUGAACCAGUGACUAAAAGGCCUGGAGAAUCUCACAGAUUGACCUGUACAGCCUCUGGAUUCACAUUAAAUAGCCACUACAUCGCCUGGGUCAGACAGGCUGAAGGAAAAGGACUGGAGUGGAUCGCUUCGAUCGUUGGUGGCAGCAUCUUCUACUCUGAGUCAGUGAAAGGCCGGUUCACCGGCUCCAGCAACAACAUACAGCAGGUGUAUCUGCAGAUGAGCAGUCUGACGGCUGUAGACUCUGCUGUUUAUUACUGUGCUCGAGACACACAGUGA
Non-coding RNA from Trematomus bernacchii (emerald rockcod), 324 nucleotides. Lineage: Eukaryota; Metazoa; Chordata; Actinopteri; Perciformes; Nototheniidae. The record is from the annotation of a RefSeq genome assembly.